CUUAGGGUUGUAAAACCAAAAUAAGAGCUAUAUUGUAUUUAAAUUAUAGCUCUAAGGUCAACUAAAGGUAAUAAAACACGCCCUUAGUUCUCUGACAGAAUGAAACCUUUGGUUUAUUCCUCUAGCGGAAAUAUUCCGACAGCAUCAAAAAAGGGCGCUUACGCAAAGUCCAUGACGUUUAGAAAAAAUAGCCGAUAGCCAAAUACACGGUGACGUCUCAAGGAUCGCUAAAAUAGCAAAUAUCGUGAACACAUCUUGAUAGGGCCAGUGACACCUAGGUUGCAACUGGCUAUAUUUUACUCGUGUUGCGAAAAUCGCGAACAUAGCGCUCUGUGUGGGCGCAAUGAAACGAAACUUUAAAAACUAGCAAAGAAUAUGGGAUGUAGAAGAUUUCACAAAGAGAAUACUUUUCAAAGGUACUCGAGAGCAUUGUGGCAAGAUGCAACUGCGUACAUCUCAUGGGAUUGUAUGCAAGAAUUAGGCAGUCAUUGGCAUUGAAUUAUGGCAUAGUAAACAAGUUCUUAUAUUCAUAUUAUUGUUGAAAGCAGAAUGUUGAAGAUGUGAGAUGAAAAUUACGCAAGUAAUUUGAAUUUUUGGCUCAUUGAAUCAAGGUGUAUAAUAGAUACAACAACAUGUAAAGUGUAUGAAAGUGGUUAAAACAUGGAUUCUGCAGUAGAUCAAGUUAAGAAAUGUAUCAGAUGUGGUAGGGAUAUGUUGGCAGGUGUGUGCUUGUGCAUUUAUAAAAUUCCUUUUUCUUGUAAAAAGUGUGAUUAUGUAGUUUCUGAUCUCACAUAUUUCAGAGAACAUUUGCAAAAUAUGCAUACAAAAAGUAAACAUGUAAGCAUUGUGCGUACAAGUGUGUCAUGCCAGAAACAAAUAAACAAAGCUGCAGUAGCCCAAUCGGUCGAUAUGAUAACGGAGGAUCGUAUUGAAACAUGUGCAGAGUUCAAAGACUCAUUUAAGUGUGAUAAAGGUCAGUAUGAGUGUAACACGUGUAAAGACAAAUUUGCUACAAAGUUGGGGUUCCUGGCUCAUAAUUUGACUCACAUUGAAAAAGAACAGACAAAUUCUUAUCAAUGUCACAUUUGUACCAGAGAAUUCUUGUCUGCUGCCAGUUUGCAAAUUCACAUCACACGUAUGCACACUCAAGUAAAGAAACACACAUGUGACAUUUGCAACAAGGGUUUCAGUAAUUUGAACACAUUAGAUGCCCACAAACGCCUUCAUUUGGGUAUCAAACCUUUUAAGUGUAACUUAUGCCAUAAGAGUUACUCUCAAAGCGGUAACUUGGCUUAUCAUAAAAAUACUCAUGUAGGUGUUAAAUCGCACGUUUGUCAUCUCUGCGGAAAAGCUUUUAUGACUAGUAGCAUCUUAGCAAAUCAUGAACGUCGUCACAGUGGCCUGAAACCGUUUGUUUGCGAUGCUUGUGGGCGUGCGUUUGCAGACAACUGUGCUCUGACACACCAUAAGGUGGUGCAUUCUGGGGUGCGCAGCUACAUGUGUGAUGUUUGUGGCAAGGCAUUCGCGCACAAACAUACGUUGGCGAGUCACAAACGCAUCCACAGUGGCGAGAAGCGCUACAAGUGUGCCAUCUGCGAGCGAGCGUUCACGCAAAUGUCGACUAUGCUCCAACACAAGAACACGCACACAGGCGAGAAGUCUUAUGGAUGCGUGUGUGGUAAGUCCUUCACACAGCAGUCGAGCUUAGCCAGGCACAAACGUUUACAUGAAAUAGGAGUGGCUUCCCACCCAUGUAAUUUGUGCGAAAAAAAAUUUUCUUACAAAAGUACAUUAUACAAGCAUAAAAGGAGAGCCCACAGAUUAGAAAACCAUGUUGCUUGUGAUGUCUCGUGACAAGAGGAAACAACAUAUCCAUCUUUUAAAAUCAGUAGUGACUUAAAUGAUUAAGUUCUUUGUCAACAGUGGUGUAUUUAAAGGUGUGAAGAUGUAUUCUAUAUGUCGUGCCAUAUUAUUAUUGAUUAAUUUUUUAUCUUAUAAAUAAUUGGAUUUUUUAUCUUUGGUUUACAUGAGUGUUUAGAGUGGUUUCUUAGUAAAAAUAAUGUAAUAAGAUACAUUAAACAAAUAGUAAUAUCAUUCAUACAUCCUUAUUCAAAUGCAAUUUACAGCUGAUUCCAUAGUAACACAAGCAGACUGCCACAGUUGUUUACAGUUUCACUAAACUGGCAACACUGGCUCUUAAGUAAACACAGAGAGGUAUCUACUACUGCCAUUUUGUAGUAGUUUAAAUUAUUUUAAAAACUAAUAGACUUAAGGAGGCACUAAAGCUUACAAAUUAUAACAGGGUUACUUCAACGUGUGUAGUUUUUGAGUUGAUAAUAGUGUUUGAGUUGAUAAUAGUGUUUGGGCUGUGUUUUUUAUGUACUAAGAAGGCAACUUUAGGCUGGGCACACACAGUAUCGGACAAGAUGCGAUGCUACACAGCGUGAAACCACACGAUGCUUCGCAACAGCGAAAUACCAUAUUUUCUUAACGUUAUUUAUUCCCACAUUAUUGAAAUCAAAUUGCUGUUAUGAUACUCCUUCAAAGAUGGAUUAUAUAAAAUAGGUUUUUCCUGUAGUAAACAUACCAAUUAAUCUGCAUACCGCUCCAUACCAAGGAAUAUUCAAUUAAAUUUCUUUACAAGUGAAUAUUUAUGAAAAUUAACGUUACAAUGAUAAACAGUUUUCAUAUAGUCAGCUUUCAGCUACAGCAUUCCUUUAACAAUUUUUUUAUACUUGCACAUGCACAGAACAGUGCAGCCAUCAGACAGACUGCUCACAACGAAGUGGGAGCAAUCAUUUGAUGUUGUUGCCUCGUGUCUGACAGUUUUGUGGCAUUGUGCCACAUCUCAUUCUGUGUACAUUGCUUUAAUAUAAAUACAUGGAAGUCAACUAUUAUACAAAAUGUUGUAUUUUGUCGUGCCUCAUUCUGUGUGUACCCGGCCUUAGGUUGUCUUUUAUGAGACUAUCUUUGAAGCUAUUUUUGUGAUGUAUUAUCAGUUUUGAGUGUCAUUUAUUAUUUAUGGGUGAAGAAGGAAAUAAAACAAAAUUUAUACCGAGCAUAACUUUAUGUACAAGCAUUUUUAGUAAAGGCCUUAAUUUAAUUUAUUGAUGAACACUUUUGGGAAAUUUACCUGAUAUUUAAGCAAAUUCUAAAACUUUUAUCAAACAAGAUACAAAUUUUUAUAAAGAUAAGUAUACCUCAUUAAUACAAACUUUGUAAUAAGAAGGUUUGUAUUAACCAAUAUAUAUGGUUUCUCGGGGAAGUGUGCAUAUAGUUUUCACCCAUGGUUUUGAACUUUUUGUACUGAACUGCUUUUAACAGGCACUGAUGGCAGCAUAAUGCAUCAAAGUUCUUAGAAAUAUUCAACGGGAUGGUGGUGGUAUUAUUUUAGUUACAACUGUUCAUUAUUUAUUUUCAAAGCCCUAUAACAUUUUUGUAUUAACCAUUCUUUGAUGCAUGUAAAUGUUUAACUAUGGAACAAAAAUAACUUUGUAAUAAAUAAGACUUAUUUUGUUCUAAAAUUGCUUAUUAUUGUAAUUCUUGUUGUGUUGGUAUAAUAUCACUGUUUAUACUUUACUAUACAUUUUUGUUUUGCUCAUGUUGAUGCUAAUCAGCCUUACUUAAUGAGUAAACUGAACUUACCUACACUAAAUAGAUUGUUCUAACACUAUCUACACUUUUGUUGUAUAACUUUGGAGGUACUGAAGCUACUGUAUGCAUGUUUCAGUCACUUUACCUAAAACAAUAGAAUUGUUACAGAAUACAGUGGGAAACAUUAGAAAACAAGAGAAAUCAACAGAAUAAAAUGGAAGACCCUAGAAUACCAACAAAAUGCCCAACAACAAAACCCAUCGAAAACUACUAAAAAACAACAGAAACCAACAAAUCAUGUUCAUUAUAAACCAUUCAAUACCACUGAUAUCCACUGAGAGAUGCAACAGAAACUAACAGAAAGUGGCCAUUUCUCAUUUUAAUAUUCAAUAGUCUUCUUGUUUCUUAUUGUACAUCUGUUGGUUUCUAUUGUAAAUUUUUGAUAGGGCCAGUGUACCUAGAUCUGCAGAAUACCAAAACAUGUUGUAUCAGGUAUUUUCCUCUAGCACUAUUACAUGACCAAACAUUUUUUUUUUUGGGUGCUUUAAGUGCUGUUUGUUAUAGAGGUAAUGAAGAUUCAUACAUAACGUUAGCAUAGAAUUGGAAAUUAAUUCAGUAGUUUUUCCAUAGUAAAACUAUAUUUUAAGUACACAUUUUGAGUUAAUUAAAGUAAAAAUAGAUUAUGAAUUUCUCAAAUAAGUUUACUUUUAAAUAUCUCUGUUGGGUUUUAUUAUGUUUGAUGACUAUGUUACUAAUCAAUAAAUUUUCACUCUGCAUUGGAAGGUAUGUUGCAGCUUUACAUAUUUCACAUUACGUAUUACCCAGAAUUUUGCUGCCCCAUCACUGAAAUAUUUAGGCUCUGAAAAUAGUUUUACAAAAUCAUACAACGCAUUC
This is an RNA transcript of Bacillus rossius redtenbacheri, 4488 nucleotides long. It is a transcript of the gene named zinc finger protein 664-like, with no coding region annotated. The transcript is spliced from 2 exons. Lineage: Eukaryota; Metazoa; Arthropoda; Insecta; Phasmatodea; Bacillidae. The record is from RefSeq and is a predicted model, not a curated record.